This 392-nucleotide ribosomal RNA is filed under the name Mesorhizobium sp. R-45768. RNAcentral describes it as "bacterial SSU rRNA". It matches the Rfam family "Bacterial small subunit ribosomal RNA", at positions 22 to 443 of the family's 1533-position model. The record is from RNAcentral. Lineage: Bacteria; Pseudomonadati; Pseudomonadota; Alphaproteobacteria; Hyphomicrobiales; Phyllobacteriaceae.
GCUCAGAACGAACGCUGGCGGCAGGCUUAACACAUGCAAGUCGAGCGCCCCGCAAGGGGAGCGGCAGACGGGUGAGUAACGCGUGGGAAUCUACCCAUCUCUACGGAACAACUCCGGGAAACUGGAGCUAAUACCGUAUACGUCCUUCGGGAGAAAGAUUUAUCGGAGAUGGAUGAGCCCGCGUUGGAUUAGCUAGUUGGUGGGGUAAUGGCCUACCWAGGCGACGAUCCAUAGCUGGUCUGAGAGGAUGAUCAGCCACWCUGGGACUGAGACACGGCCCAGACUCCUACGGGAGGCAGCWGUGGGGAAUAUUGGACKAAUGGGCGAAAGCCUGAUCCAGCCAUGCCGCGUGAGUGAUGAAGGCCCUAGGGUUGUAAAGCUCUUUCAACGGU